Acanthosepion pharaonis is the source of this 93-nucleotide non-coding RNA. The record is from the annotation of a GenBank genome assembly. NCBI's taxonomy places the organism in Eukaryota, Metazoa, Mollusca, Cephalopoda, Sepiida, Sepiidae.
UCAAAUGCAGGUUCUCGUACGAUCACCAAAGUUAAGCAACGUCGAGCCUGGUCAGUACUUAGAUGAGCGACCGCUUUGUAAUACCAGGUGCUA